AACGAACGCUGGCGGCAUGCCUAACACAUGCAAGUCGAACGAGACCUUCGGGUCUAGUGGCGCAUGGGUGCGUAACGCGUGGGAACCUGCCCUUAGGUUCGGAAUAACUCCCCGAAAGGGGUGCUAAUACCGGAUCAUGUCUUCGGACCAAAGAUUUAUCGCCUUUGGAUGGGCCCGCGUUGGAUUAGCUGGUUGGUAGGGUAAAAGCCUACCAAGGCGACGAUCCAUAGCUGGUCUGAGAGGAUGAUCAGCCACACUGAGACUGAGACGCGGCCCAGACUCCUACGGGAGGCAGCAGUGGGGAAUAUUGGACAAUGGGCGAAGGCCUGAUCCAGCAAUGCCGCGAGAGUGAUGAAGGCCUUAGGGUUGUAAAGCUCUUUUACCCGGGAUGAUAAUGACGGUACCGGGAGAAUAAGCUCCGGCUAACUCCGUG
RNAcentral lists this ribosomal RNA (433 nucleotides) under uncultured bacterium. RNAcentral describes it as "partial 16S ribosomal RNA". It matches the Rfam family "Bacterial small subunit ribosomal RNA", at positions 29 to 507 of the family's 1533-position model. The record is from RNAcentral.